GCGUGCUUAACACAUGCAAGUCGAACGGAAAGGCCCUGCUUUUGUGGGGUGCUCGAGUGGCGAACGGGUGAGUAACACGUGAGUAACCUGCCCUUGACUUUGGGAUAACUUCAGGAAACUGGGGCUAAUACCGGAUAGGAGCUCCUGCUGCAUGGUGGGGGUUGGAAAGUUUCGGCGGUUGGGGAUGGACUCGCGGCUUAUCAGCUUGUUGGUGGGGUAGUGGCUUACCAAGGCUUUGACGGGUAGCCGGCCUGAGAGGGUGACCGGCCACAUUGGGACUGAGAUACGGCCCAGACUCCUACGGGAGGCAGCAGUGGGGAAUAUUGCACAAUGGGCGGAAGCCUGAUGCAGCAACGCCGCGUGCGGGAUGACGGCCUUCGGGUUGUAAACCGCUUUCGCCUGUGACGAAGCGUGAGUGACGGUAAUGGGUAAAGAAGCACCGGCUAACUACGUGCCAGCAGCCGCGGUGAUACGUAGGGUGCGAGCGUUGUCCGGAUUUAUUGGGCGUAAAGGGCUCGUAGGUGGUUGAUCGCGUCGGAAGUGUAAUCUUGGGGCUUAACCCUGAGCGUGCUUUCGAUACGGGUUGACUUGAGGAAGGUAGGGGAGAAUGGAAUUCCUGGUGGAGCGGUGGAAUGCGCAGAUAUCAGGAGGAACACCAGUGGCGAAGGCGGUUCUCUGGGCCUUUCCUGACGCUGAGAAGCGAAAGCGUGGGGAGCGAACAGGCUUAGAUACCCUGGUAGUCCACGCUGUAAACGGUGGGUACUAGGUGUGGGGUCCAUUCCACGGGUUCCGUGCCGUAGCUAACGCUUUAAGUACCCCGCCUGGGGAGUACGGCCGCAAGGCUAAAACUCAAAGGAAUUGACGGGGCCCCGCACAAGCGGCGGAGCAUGCGGAUUAAUUCGAUGCAACGCGUAGAACCUUACCUGGGUUUGACAUGGAUCGGGAGUGCUCAGAGAUGGGUGUGCCUCUUUUGGGGUCGGUUCACAGGUGGUGCAUGGCUGUCGUCAGCUCGUGUCGUGAGAUGUUGGGUUAAGUCCCGCAACGAGCGCAACCCUUGUUCACUGUUGCCAGCACGUUAUGGUGGGGACUCAGUGGAGACCGCCGGGGUCAACUCGGAGGAAGGUGGGGAUGACGUCAAGUCAUCAUGCCCCUUAUGUCCAGGGCUUCACGCAUGCUACAAUGGCUGGUACAGAGAGUGGCGAGCCUGUGAGGGUGAGCGAAUCUCGGAAAGCCGGUCUCAGUUCGGAUUGGGGUCUGCAACUCGACCUCAUGAAGUCGGAGUCGCUAGUAAUCGCAGAUCAGCAACGCUGCGGUGAAUACGUUCCCGGGGCUUGUACACACCGCCCGUCAAGUCAUGAAAGUUGGUAACACCCGAAGCCGGUGGCCUAACCGUUGUGGGGGAGCCGUCGAAGGUGGGACUGGUGAUUAGGAAAAA
RNAcentral lists this ribosomal RNA (1435 nucleotides) under uncultured organism. RNAcentral's name for it is "partial small subunit ribosomal RNA". It matches the Rfam family "Bacterial small subunit ribosomal RNA". The record is from RNAcentral.